GACGAACGCUGGCGGCGUGCUUAACACAUGCAAGUCGAACGGAAAGGCCCUGCUGUUGUGGGGUGCUCGAGUGGCGAACGGGUGAGUAACACGUGAGUAACCUGCCCUUGACUUUGGGAUAACUUCAGGAAACUGGGGCUAAUACCGGAUAGGAGCUCCUGCUGCAUGGGGGGGGUUGGAAAGUUUCGGCGGUUGGGGAUGGACUCGCGGCUUAUCGGCUUGUUGGUGGGGUAGUGGCUUACCAAGGCUUUGACGGGUAGCCGGCCUGGGAGGGUGACCGGCCACAUUGGGCCUGGGAUACGGCCCAGACUCCUACGGGAGGCAGCAGUGGGGAAUAUUGCACAAUGGGCGGAAGCCUAAUGCGGCAACGCCGCGUGCGGGAUGACGGCCUUCGGGUUGUAACCCGCUUUCGCCUGUGACGAAGCGUGAGUGACGGUAAUGGGUAAAGAAGCACCGGCUAACUACGUG
Molecule: ribosomal RNA, 468 nt
Filed under: uncultured bacterium
Lineage: Bacteria
Description: partial 16S ribosomal RNA
Rfam family: Bacterial small subunit ribosomal RNA
Source: RNAcentral